Molecule: long non-coding RNA, 579 nt
Organism: Dama dama (fallow deer)
Lineage: Eukaryota; Metazoa; Chordata; Mammalia; Artiodactyla; Cervidae
Exons: 3
Source: RefSeq, a predicted model, not a curated record
GCUUCCACGAGGGCAGCCGGGUUGCCUUCCAAAAUGUACCUUGGUCCGGCCGGUUCACAAAGAAUAAAAAGACGUUUUUCAUCGUUUAAGCUUCGAGCAUGUGGUACGUGACUGGAUGGAAUUCCUGGAGAACUGUAUUAACAUGUUCCAAAAAGCUGAAUCCUGAGGAGGCACUAGUGGUAAAGAGCCUGGCUGCCAAUGCAGGAGACUUAAGAGAUGCAGCUUCAGUCCCUGGGUGGUGCAGAUCCCCUGGAGGAGGGCAUGGCAGCCCACUCCAGUAUUCUUGCCAGGAGAAUCCCAUGGACAGAGGAGUCUGGUGGACUACAGUCUAUAAGGUCGCACAGGGUUAGACAUGACUGAAGUGAGUUAGCAAGUAUGCACGCAUGAUCCUAUUGCCAGUUUCUAAUUCUUUUGGCUUUAUAUUGUGUAGGUCUUUUCCUUCUCUUGUGUUUCCUGCCUAGAGAAGUUCCUUUAGCAUUUGUUGUAAAGCUGUUUCGGUGGUUUUGAAUUCUUUUUACUUUUGCUUGUCUGAAAAGCUUUUGAUUUCUCCAUCAAAUUUGAAUGAACAUUUAUAUUUAC